UACGUAGGGGGCGAGCGUUGUCCGGAGUUACUGGGCGUAAAGCGCACGCAGGCGGUCUGCUAAGUUUGGAGUGACAGUUGGUGGCUUAACUGCCAAAGUGCUUCGAAAACUGACAGACUUGAGGGCUUCAGAGUGACACGGAAUUCCGGGUGGAGUGGUGAAAUGCGUAGAGAUCCGGAGGAACACCAAAGGCGAAGGCAGUUAACUAUUCUAUUCCUGACAUUGAGGCAUGAAAGCGUGGGGAGCAAAACGG
This 253-nucleotide ribosomal RNA is filed under the name uncultured bacterium. Its description in RNAcentral is "partial 16S ribosomal RNA". It matches the Rfam family "Bacterial small subunit ribosomal RNA", at positions 524 to 776 of the family's 1533-position model. The record is from RNAcentral.